This 484-nucleotide ribosomal RNA is filed under the name uncultured bacterium. Its description in RNAcentral is "partial 16S ribosomal RNA". It matches the Rfam family "Bacterial small subunit ribosomal RNA", at positions 30 to 507 of the family's 1533-position model. The record is from RNAcentral.
AUUGAACGCUGGCGGCAGGCCUAACACAUGCAAGUCGAGCGGAUGAAGGGAGCUUGCUCCUGGAUUCAUCGGCGGACGGGGGAGUAAUGCCUAUGAAUCUGCCUGGGCGUGGUGGAUAACGUCCGGUAACGGGCGCUAAUACCACAUCCGUCCAGCGGGGGAAGAUCGGGGAUGUUCGGAUCCCGCCCUAUCACCUGAGCCUAGGUCGGAUUAGCUAGUUGGUGGGGUAAGGGCCAACCAAGGCGACGAUCCGUAACUGGUCUGAGAGGAUGAUCAGUCACACUGGAACUGAGACACGGUCCAGACUCCUACGGGAGGCAGCAGUGGGGAAUAUUGGACAAUGGGCGAAAGCCUGAUGCAGCCAUGCCGCGUGUGUGAAGAAGGUCUUCGGAUUGUAAAGCACUUUAAGUUGGGAGGAAGGGAAGUAAGUUAAUACCUUGCUGUAUUGACGUUACCAACAGAAUAAGCACCGGCUAACUCCGUG